RNAcentral lists this ribosomal RNA (482 nucleotides) under uncultured bacterium. Its description in RNAcentral is "partial 16S ribosomal RNA". It matches the Rfam family "Bacterial small subunit ribosomal RNA", at positions 28 to 507 of the family's 1533-position model. The record is from RNAcentral.
GACGAACGCUGGCGGCGUGCUUAACACAUGCAAGUCGAACGAUGAAGAAGAGAAACGCGAACUUCGGUUCAAAUUUCACUUCGGAUUAGUGGCAGACGGGUGAGUAACGCGUGAGCAACCUACCUCUUACAAAGGGAUAGCCUCGGGAAACCGUGAUUAAUACCAUAUGACACAUUCAUAAGGCAUCUUAAGAAUGUUAAAGCUACGGCGGUAAGAGAUGGGCUCGCGUCCCAUUAGCUAGUUGGUGAGGUAACGGCCCACCAAGGCGACGAUGGGUAACCGGCCUGAGAGGGUGAACGGUCACAUUGGAACUGAGACACGGUCCAAACUCCUACGGGAGGCAGCAGUGGGGAAUAUUGCACAAUGGAGGGAACUCUGAUGCAGCGACGCCGCGUGAGCGAUGAAGGAAUUCGCUUCGUAAAGCUCUGUUCUAUGGGAAGAAAAGGACUGUACCAUAGGAGAAAGCCCCGGCUAAAUACGUG